UGAGUAAAUUGAGUGAUCGCGGGCAGAGUACCGAAAGGUCCUGUCUGAGGAAAGUCCGAGCUCCAUAGGGCAGGGUGCUGGCUAACGGCCAGUGAGGGUGACCUCAAGGAUAGUGCCACAGACAUGUAGACCGCCUAAGACGGCUUUGGCCGGACGGCAAGGAUGGAACGGUGCGGUAAGAGCGCACCAGCAGCCAGGUGACUGGCUGGCUAGGUAAACCCCACCCGGUGCAAGACCGAAUAGGGGAGCAAUGGGGCGGCCCGUCCCGCUCCCGGGUUAGGUUGCUAGAGGUGCUAGGUAACUGGCAUCCCAGAUAGAUGAUCACUUUUAACAGAACUCGGCUUAUAGAUUUGCUCAGUUG
RNAcentral lists this RNase P RNA (361 nucleotides) under Bacillota bacterium. RNAcentral describes it as "RNase P RNA component class A". It matches the Rfam family "Bacterial RNase P class A". Rfam says of the family: Ribonuclease P (RNase P) is a ubiquitous endoribonuclease, found in archaea, bacteria and eukarya as well as chloroplasts and mitochondria. The record is from RNAcentral. RNAcentral also lists the same sequence under 1 other name. Lineage: Bacteria; Bacillati; Bacillota.